Apodemus sylvaticus (European woodmouse) is the source of this 2190-nucleotide long non-coding RNA. RefSeq lists it as uncharacterized. The transcript is spliced from 2 exons. Lineage: Eukaryota; Metazoa; Chordata; Mammalia; Rodentia; Muridae. The record is from RefSeq and is a predicted model, not a curated record.
UGCAGUAACAGCCCCGGUAGACGGGGGCCAUGAGAUGAGCAAACUUCUGGCAAAGCUGUCCAAACCCUACCGCUGCAAGAGAGGGCCACUGUGGAGGACAUGCAUCUUAAUUGGUGACAUGAAAAACAUCUCCCAGAUGCUGAAUUGGGUUGCAAUGGGUCAAGAUGCUGAUGCAGAAGGACACGCCCAGGGUGCCAGUCUAGAGCCUUACUUUGGACCGCACCACUCAUCUGAUAGAAGAUGGAAUUUUGGUUUUGGAAGUUUUAAGCCAUUUCUCCUAGAGAAAGCAAAGUUACUGGGCACACGGGCCACCUUGGGAAUGCCAAAUUCAUACUGAAUGCUGGAAGACUACAGCCAGUCAUUUCUGAGAAACAGUUCUCUAAAAGUCAUGUGAAUUACCUUACCAAGAAAUCCCUGAAGGAGACUAAUCUCUGUGAUUGGCUUCGUGUGGUUGAAUCAGACAAGGAGACUUAAGAACUUUGUUAUUUACAGAGAAGUCAAGAUGAAGAUAGGUCAGAAUCUGAGGGCUAGCUGGCUGUCGCUUUUUAAUAAAAUGGAGUAUGCUUGAGAAAGAAACCUAGAGAAGGACAUUUUUAUCAGCAAAUAAAAGUCAUAGUAAUCUUAAACAAAAAACUGAUCCCUAUACUUUUAGCUUCCUGUGACUGUGUCUUGCAGAGGGGGUUAAAUAAUACAUUUAAUUAUUUUUCCUAAAAUGAGAUUUUCUAUAUUUUUUAAAGAUUUAUUUAUUUACUUGUUUGUUUGUUUGCUUAUGAAUAUGAGUGCACUGUAGCUGAACAGAUGGUUGUAAGCCUUCAUGUGGUUGCUGGGGAUUGAACUCAGGACCUCUACUGGCUCAGGUCAACCCUGCUCUCUCUGGUUGGCCCCUCUCACUCCGGUUAAUCUUGCUCGCUCAGUUCCUGUUUGCUCCAGUCCAAAGAUUUUUAUUUAUUAUUAUUAUAUUUAAGUACACUGUAGCUGUCUUCAGACACAGCAGAAGAGGGCAUCAGAUCUCACUAUGGAUGGUUAUGGAUGGUUGUGGGCCACCAUGUGGUUGCUAGGAUUUGAAUUCAGGACCUUCGGGAGAGCAGUCAGUGCUCUUACCCGCUGAGCCAUCUCACCAGCCCUGAGAUUUCCUAUUUUUGAGUGACUGGGAAAACACUUUUUCCGACAAGUGAAGGCUAAAUGAGUACCCUGAACCCAGUCUUGAAUCUUCCCGGAACUGGGGAGUGUCGUCCAUACACGUAGACAUUGGGAUGCUAUCGCCUGUGAGAACUUCAAACCUCACACUGCUCUGAAGGGAAUCAAAUCUAUGAAGAAGAGCAGUUUCUAUCUCCAUUAACAGCAGUAAAAUAACAUGUGUCCAUUACUGGCUUCUCUGUGUAGCACCAUGCAUGUUUCAGGGUAUCUGAUCCAGUUAGUUUCAGAACAAGCCUGCUGAGCGAGGUUAGGAAACUGGGGUCCUCAGAAGUUUUUAAGUAAGUGAGAAAGCUGUGAGGGAAGGAGAGAAUGGCUGUCAGGUACAGCACAGAAAUAGGCCGGAGAAACAGGAAGUCGAGUAGCACUGGGUAGGGGACAGUAAGGAAGACAGCACCAUCACACUCACCAAGUGUCACUCUCUUCAAGGUCUCAGAGAACUUACCCCGGAGAGUGAGCCCUGGACAGCAGAUGGUGGAAUCAGUAAGGAUCUUAUGCUAGCCCAAAGACCAAGAGAAUAGUCUGAAUAUAGAGGCAACUCAAGGAGUUUAGACAAAAGUGGAAAGUUGGUGGCCCAGAAAUUGGAAGGAUGCACUGUGAUGUCAGACAGGUCUGGCUUGACGCUGCUCCGCCACUUGAAGAAGCUCUGCUACUCUACUUCUUGUUUCUCGAGCCCAUUUCCGUAUGGUACCAUGCCACAGCGCAAUGGCUAUCUUAGCACUGUCAUCACUGCCAGAGAUUGAACAUCUCCUGAGCAGAACUGCUCAGUCUCAAGAAUCAAAGAAGAGAGUGCUGAAUUCUAUGACCUGGCAAACCCCACUUCGGUCAGAAGGUCUUCAUAAGUGACUUCCCCAAAUGUGACUAUUUCCCUCACGAGUACAGAGUGAUAGUCUUGAGACCGGAGCUGAUGGGGUGGAGGGGCAUGGUAGUCUGUGAGAGGCAGUUUCUCUGGUGAAAGGGGCAGGCAGCUUCCAAUAACCAAUCAAGUUAUAUUGA